RNAcentral lists this ribosomal RNA (392 nucleotides) under uncultured bacterium. RNAcentral's name for it is "partial 16S ribosomal RNA". It matches the Rfam family "Bacterial small subunit ribosomal RNA", at positions 523 to 918 of the family's 1533-position model. The record is from RNAcentral.
AUACGGAGGAUCCGAACGUUAUCCGGAUUUAUUGGGUUUAAAGGGUGCGCAGGCGGCCAUUUAAGUCAGCGGUUAAAUCGUGGGGCUCAACCCCAUUCUGCCGUUGAAACUGGGUUUCUUGAGAGUGCAAGAGGCGGAUGGAAUUCAUGGUGUAGCGGUGAAAUGCUUAGAUAUCAUGAAGAACUCCGAUUGCGAAGGCAGGCCGCUGGGGCACGUCUGACGCUGAUGCUCGAAGGUGCGGGAAUCAAACAGGAUUAGAGGCCCUGUUAGGCCGCACGGUAAACGAUGAUUACCCGCUGUCGGCGGCAGACAGUCGGCGGCCGAGCGAAAGCGAUAAGUAAUCCAGCUGGUGAGUACGCCGGCAACGGUGAAACUGAAAGGAAUUGACUGGG